GAUGAACGCUUGCGGCGUGCUUAACACAUGCAAGUCGAACGAAGCACUUUAUUUGAUUUCCUUCGGGACUGAUUAUUUUGUGACUGAGUGGCGGACGGGUGAGUAACGCGUGGGUAACCUGCCUUGUACAGGGGGAUAACAGUUGGAAACGGCUGCUAAUACCGCAUAUGCGCACAGCAUCGCAUGAUGCAGUGUGAAAAACUCCGGUGGUAUAAGAUGGACCCGCGUUGGAUUAGCUAGUUGGUGAGGUAACGGCCCACCAAGGCGACGAUCCAUAGCCGACCUGAGAGGGUGACCGGCCACAUUGGGACUGAGACACGGCCCAAACUCCUACGGGAGGCAGCAGUGGGGAAUAUUGCACAAUGGGCGAAAGCCUGAUGCAGCGACGCCGCGUGAGCGAAGAAGUAUUUCGGUAUGUAAAGCUCUAUCAGCAGGGAAGAUAAUGACGGUACCUGACUAAGAAGCACCGGCUAAAUACGUGCCAGCAGCCGCGGUAAUACGUAUGGUGCAAGCGUUAUCCGGAUUUACUGGGUGUAAAGGGAGCGCAGGCGGUGCGGCAAGUCUGAUGUGAAAGCCCGGGGCUCUUCCCCGGGUACUGCCUUGGAAAACUGUCGUACUAGAGUGUCGGAGGGGUAAGCGGAAUUCCUUGUGUAGCGGGUGAAAUUGCGUAGAUAUUUGGUGGUUCUCCCGUGGCGGUGGCGGCUUACUGGACGAUAAAUGACGCGGGGGCUCGAAAGCGUGGGGNGCCAAAAAAAUUCGCUNCCCUGGUUGUCCNCGCCGUNNCCCCCCAAAAAGGGGUGUUGGGAAGCAUUGCUUCUCGGUGCCGUCGCAAACGCAGUAAGUAUUCCACCUGGGGAGUACGUUCGCAAGAAUGAGACUCAAAGGAAUUGACGGGGACCUGCACAAGCGGUGGAGCAUGUGGUUUAAUUCGAAGCAACGCGAAGAACCUUACCAAGUCUUGACAUCCUUCUGACCGGUACUUAACCGUACCUUCUCUUCGGAGCAGGAGUGACAGGUGGUGCAUGGUUGUCGUCAGCUCGUGUCGUGAGAUGUUGGGUUAAGUCCCGCAACGAGCGCAACCCUUAUCUUUAGUAGCCAGCGGUCCGGCCGGGCACUCUAGAGAGACUGCCAGGGAUAACCUGGAGGAAGGCGGGGAGGACGUCAAAUCAUCAUGCCCCCUAUGACUUGGGCUACACACGUGCUACAAUGGCGUAAACAAAGGGAAGCAAAGCUGUGAAGCCGAGCAAAUCUCAAAAAUAACGUCUCAGUUCGGACUGUAGUCUGCAACCCGACUACACGAAGCUGGAAUCGCUAGUAAUCGCAGAUCAGAAUGCUGCGGUGAAUAAAAUCCCGGGUCUUGCACA
Molecule: ribosomal RNA, 1364 nt
Filed under: uncultured bacterium
Lineage: Bacteria
Description: bacterial SSU rRNA
Rfam family: Bacterial small subunit ribosomal RNA
Source: RNAcentral